RNAcentral lists this long non-coding RNA (501 nucleotides) under Gallus gallus (chicken). RNAcentral's name for it is "long non-coding RNA NONGGAT009161". The record is from RNAcentral. Lineage: Eukaryota; Metazoa; Chordata; Aves; Galliformes; Phasianidae.
AAAAAAAAAAAUCCAUCAUGGCAAAUGGAAAGAGGUGUUCCCAUGUGUGUGUGUGUGUGCGCGCGUGUACGUUGUCAACCUACUGUGGACUUGCUGCUUGCCCGUGACCGGAGAUCACCACCAACCCCAGUGCAGGUGGGAGGAGGAGGAGCUGCGGUGCGUGGGUACUGGGUUGAGGAGGAGGAGGAGGAGGAGAGAUGCUCUGGGGAAGAGACUGCUGAGGCCUCCAGAGCCUCGGGGAUCUGCAGAAGAUGGCUACGGAGAACUUUAUUUCCCCCAUCCUGUGGACCUAAGGAUUUUGAUAUUGAGUUACAGACUUAGGUUUCAUGGCUUCAGAGGGGCACAGAAGCACCGGCAGCACCGCCUCCUCCACCGCCCAUGGGACGAGCAGGGACGUCUGCAGGGCUGUGAGACGGUGGGACCUGCAGCACCCCGUCCUGUACAUAACCCGUGAGCUGUCUGUAACAGAGGCAGUCUUUAUCUGCAGCUCAGAGCCCGGUG